GAUGAACGCUGGCGGCGUGCUUAACACAUGCAAGUCGAACGAAGCACUUUAACCUGAUUCUUCGGAUGAAGGUUUUUGUGACUGAGUGGCGGACGGGUGAGUAACGCGUGGGUAACCUGCCUCAUACAGGGGGAUAACAGUUAGAAAUGACUGCUAAUACCGCAUAAGACCACAGAGCCGCAUGGCUCGGUGGGAAAAACUCCGGUGGUAUGAGAUGGACCCGCGUCUGAUUAGGUAGUUGGUGGGGUAACGGCCUACCAAGCCAACGAUCAGUAGCCGACCUGAGAGGGUGACCGGCCACAUUGGGACUGAGACACGGCCCAAACUCCUACGGGAGGCAGCAGUGGGGAAUAUUGCACAAUGGGGGAAACCCUGAUGCAGCGACGCCACGUGAGCGAAGAAGUAUUUCGGUAUGUAAAGCUCUAUCAGCAGGGAAGAAAAUGACGGUACCUGACUAAGAAGCACCGGCUAAAUACGUG
Molecule: ribosomal RNA, 479 nt
Filed under: uncultured bacterium
Lineage: Bacteria
Description: partial 16S ribosomal RNA
Rfam family: Bacterial small subunit ribosomal RNA
Source: RNAcentral